CCUACGGGAGGCAGCAGUAGGGAAUCUUCCACAAUGGACGAAAGUCUGAUGGAGCAACGCCGCGUGAGUGAAGAAGGGUUUCGGCUCGUAAAGCUCUGUUGGUAGUGAAGAAAGAUAGAGGUAGUAACUGGCCUUUAUUUGACGGUAAUUACUUAGAAAGUCACGGCUAACUACGUGCCAGCAGCCGCGGUAAUACGUAGGUGGCAAGCGUUGUCCGGAUUUAUUGGGCGUAAAGCGAGUGCAGGCGGUUCAAUAAGUCUGAUGUGAAAGCCUUCGGCUCAACCGGGGAAUUGCAUCAGAAACUGUUGGACUUGAGUGCAGAAGAGGAGAGUGGAAUUCCAUGUGUAGCGGUGGAAUGCGUAGAUAUAUGGAAGAACACCGGUGGCGAAGGCGGCUCUCUGGUCGGCAACUGACGCUGAGGCUCGAAAGCAUGGGUAGCGAACAGGAUUAGAUACCCUUGUAGUC
This 465-nucleotide ribosomal RNA is filed under the name uncultured bacterium. Its description in RNAcentral is "partial 16S ribosomal RNA". It matches the Rfam family "Bacterial small subunit ribosomal RNA", at positions 338 to 795 of the family's 1533-position model. The record is from RNAcentral.